Molecule: long non-coding RNA, 222 nt
Filed under: Lathyrus oleraceus (garden pea)
Lineage: Eukaryota; Viridiplantae; Streptophyta; Magnoliopsida; Fabales; Fabaceae
Description: Pisum sativum (pea) long non-coding RNA (PSAT_LNC018623)
Source: RNAcentral
UUUUUUUGAGUAUGUAACCGAUUACGCAAAAGCUGCUGUUUGAUUCUGGAAAAGGUGGUAACUAGUUACACCAAACCUGUAAUUGAUUACAUGCCGCUUCUGUUUGCUAAUGACUUGGUGGUAACCAGUUACAUAAAAGUGGUAACUAGUUACAUGUCACUUCUAUUUGUUUCUUUUGCUACAGAAAAAGGUGGUAACCAGUUACAUCCCAGAAGUAAUUUG